Molecule: unclassified non-coding RNA, 343 nt
Filed under: soil metagenome
Description: partial contains 5.8S ribosomal RNA, internal transcribed spacer 2, and large subunit ribosomal RNA
Rfam family: 5.8S ribosomal RNA (bases 1-120)
Source: RNAcentral
GAUGAAGAACGCAGCGAAAUGCGAUAAGUAAUGUGAAUUGCAGAAUUCAGUGAAUCAUCGAAUCUUUGAACGCACAUUGCGCCCGCUAGUAUUCUGGCGGGCAUGCCUGUCCGAGCGUCAUUUCAACCCUCAAGCCCCCGGGCUUGGUGUUGGGGAUCGGCGAGCCUCCGCGCCCGCCGUCCCCUAAAACUAGUGGCGGUCUCGCUGUAGCUUCCUCUGCGUAGUAGCACACCUCGCACUGGGAAACAGCGCGGCCACGCCGUUAAACCCCCAACUUCUGAACGUUUGACCUCGGAUCAGGUAGGAAUACCCGCUGAACUUAAGCAUAUCAAUAAGCGGAGGA